Non-coding RNA from Nomia melanderi (Alkali bee), 1377 nucleotides. Lineage: Eukaryota; Metazoa; Arthropoda; Insecta; Hymenoptera; Halictidae. The record is from RefSeq and is a predicted model, not a curated record.
GCGGAGAUGAACAUUUUGUGCGGGAUAGCGGAGAGAGGAGUUAGUGCGAGACUUUGUGAGCGAUACUUUGCGUAAUCGGCGAGCGAGCGUUUGGUGAUCUGUAAAAAUCAUGCGACUUGUAAGGGAAUAUCCCACCACCUUGAGGACUCUGCCGGGAUAGUUCUUACAAUAUUGGGGACUCUCCCGAGACAAUUCCUACAAAUAUUGGGGGCUCGUCCGAGAUUGUUCCUACAUGAGUGAUACAGAACAGUACUUCAGACAUUAAUUGUAAGUGUUUCAUCCUGAGUGGUGGACAAGAAUCUAUAGCGCAAAGGGCUGAAGAGCUUAUAUAUUUAAAAAAAUGCUGGUAGUGGAGCAGUCGACGUAUUCCCCAAAACUACCUACGACAACGGCUCUUGACGCGCUGUCGACUUGAGUACCCCAACAACCAGCUAAGCCGAGAAAUUCUUAAAGCUCUCACACACGUUGACAUUUGCGGCGUUGGAUCGUUACAAGUGACAAGUUGGAUUCUUUCAAGGUUCCGUAAUACACUUGUAGCAGCAGAAAUAAUGACGUAGACAGACGACAACAACGAAGACGGUGACCGCGUCAUUUCCAUGACAUAGUCAGCUGAUUGCCGAAAGCAAUGAACGCAUCGCGGAAAACACCUUAGGUUAACGAACCUUGUAAACUCCAAAUAACUGAUUAUUUACUAAAAUUACAGUGGACUGUAUAGACACCUGAAUUCUUGGAGUUUGCUUAUGUGGCGACUUUAGUUGCUAGAAUUGUGUCCAAUGAAUCUAUAAAUCUAAAGUCGAAGUAGGCCUGAGCACAUGGAGUCUCGCUGCUGACUAACUGCCUAUUCCUAGAAAACUCUUGUCGUUGAAAAAAAGAAAGGUGGAGACGUCUUCAGCGACUACCGGCAAUCUUGGAACUGAGUAAUUUUCCUACUGGCGGUUAAACUAAACGGAUUUUUCAUUGGCCAAAUGGGGUACGCACGUAAAUACAUUACUUUGACGCGUAAGCCUCUUAUUUGGAUGAGCAAGUGACCAUGCCCCUGGCAAAAAGUGGCCCGCAAGUGAAAAGGUCUUAUCGUUGCGUUCGAAACUUUCCGACACGUGUUUGCUGACUUUACGAGAAGCCAUAAGCUAUUCUCCUGGAAGUAAUAAUGAUAAAGUCGCGAGCAUAAACAAUGAAACAGUCUCUGUCGAUUCAAGAGUGCAUAGAAAUUUAAAGGACUUUAGAUAGGCUAUGACUCCUCGUGUUGCAUUGAAGAAAUUAGAGAAUUGUCUGGUAAUCGCUGCUGUCCGCGGUUUUGAAUCUCUAACAAAUCUACUAACCCACUGCAGCGAAGAACAGUCUCCCCCUUUUUCCUCUCACCGCCACCGAGCGACUAUA